GUCUAGGAUACAAGAAAUUAAAAAAGAAAAGAGAGAGAAUGUGAAUAGUAGCAGAAGCAGGACACUGCAGGGGCAGUAGAUCUCCCAUCCAUUCAGGAGGCGCUUUUGAGUAUGAAUUUAUAUGAAUGGAGAUGUGAAGUUUGUAAGUUGGUAAUUGCAGUCAGGUGAGUGCUAUUUUACAAUAUAUAGUAUGAAUUUGCUUCUUAAUUGAUUCUUGUUCCUU
RNAcentral lists this unclassified non-coding RNA (223 nucleotides) under Hevea brasiliensis (rubber tree). The record is from RNAcentral. Lineage: Eukaryota; Viridiplantae; Streptophyta; Magnoliopsida; Malpighiales; Euphorbiaceae.